UACGGAGGGUGCGAGCGUUGUCCGGAAUCACUGGGCGUAAAGGGUGCGUAGGCGGGUCUUUAAGUCAGGGGUGAAAUCCUGGAGCUCAACUCCAGAACUGCCUUUGAUACUGAAGAUCUUGAGUUCGGGAGAGGUGAGUGGAACUGCGAGUGUAGAGGUGAAAUUCGUAGAUAUUCGCAAGAACACCAGUGGCGAAGGCGGCUCACUGGCCCGAUACUGACGCUGAGGCACGAAAGCGUGGGGAGCAAACAGGG
RNAcentral lists this ribosomal RNA (254 nucleotides) under uncultured bacterium. RNAcentral describes it as "partial 16S ribosomal RNA". It matches the Rfam family "Bacterial small subunit ribosomal RNA", at positions 524 to 777 of the family's 1533-position model. The record is from RNAcentral.